CACACCACCACUUCCCAAUUACAAUGGACGCUGGGGAAGGCGAGCACACAUAUGUAACACAGCAGAAACGGACCAUGGACAGAAUCAUCUGGCAUCAGAAUUACCACGGUCACAGAACAUAAUGACGGUCUGAAAACAGGCUAAACGCUGGAAAAAAUAAUUUUAUUAAGUAAUGACAUAUGGCCAAGGAAGAGAACACGGCAGCCGGGAAAACUUCAGCUUUUCAAGGUUUCUUCAUAACAACUUAAUCAGUGCAUACUCAGGUGAAAAUGACUCUUUUCCACUAGCACACUGGAGUGCCUGCUUUGUUUUGCCAGCCAGGAAGAUGCUGAAUCAACCACAGUCCAGCUUUCUUCACAAUCCGUCCUUCUCCGUGCGGUUAUUGUUGUU
Monopterus albus (swamp eel) is the source of this 390-nucleotide long non-coding RNA. RefSeq lists it as uncharacterized. The transcript is spliced from 3 exons. The record is from RefSeq and is a predicted model, not a curated record. NCBI's taxonomy places the organism in Eukaryota, Metazoa, Chordata, Actinopteri, Synbranchiformes, Synbranchidae.